AGAGUUUGAUCCUGGCUCAGGACGAACGCUGACGGUGUGNUUUAGACAUGCNAGUCGAACGAGAAAGCCCUUCGGGGUGAGUACAGUGGCGAACGGGUGAGUAACACGUGGGUAACCUGCCCCUCGCAGGGGGACAACCGGGGGAAACCCCGGCUAAUACCCCGUACGCUUGCCGGGCCGCAUGACUCGGCAAGGAAAGGUAGCUUCGGCCAUCCGGCGAGGGAUGGGCCCGCGGUCCAUUAGCUAGUUGGUGGGGUAACGGCCCACCAAGGCGACGAUGGAUAGCUGGUCUGAGAGGAUGAUCAGCCACACUGGGACUGAGACACGGCCCAGACUCCUACGGGAGGCAGCAGUCGGGAAUCUUGCGCAAUGGGCGAAAGCCUGACGCAGCAACWCCGUGUGGGCGAUGAAGGCCUUCGGGUCGUAAAGCCCUGUUGUUGGGGACGAAGGGCGAAGGGUUAAUAGCCCCUAGCCUGACGGUACCCUUCGAGGAAGCCCCGGCUAACUACGUGCCAGCAGCCGCGGUAAUACGUAGGGGGCGAGCGUUGUCCGGAAUUAUUGGGCGUAAAGAGCGUGUAGGCGGUUCGGUAAGUCUGCCGUGAAACCCCGGGGCUCAACCCCGGGCGUGCGGUGGAUACUGCCGGGCUAGAGGGUGGUAGAGGCGAGUGGAAUUCCCGGUGUAGCGGUGAAAUGCGCAGAUAUCGGGAGGAACACCAGUAGCGAAGGCGGCUCGCUGGGCCAUUCCUGACGCUGAGACGCGAAAGCUAGGGGAGCGAACAGGAUUAGAUACCCCGGUAGUCC
RNAcentral lists this ribosomal RNA (801 nucleotides) under uncultured Rubrobacter sp. RNAcentral describes it as "bacterial SSU rRNA". It matches the Rfam family "Bacterial small subunit ribosomal RNA", at positions 8 to 796 of the family's 1533-position model. Lineage: Bacteria; Bacillati; Actinomycetota; Rubrobacteria; Rubrobacterales; Rubrobacteraceae. The record is from RNAcentral.